UACGUAGGGGGCAAGCGUUGUCCGGAAUCAUUGGGCGUAAAGCGCGUGUAGGCGGCUUGGCAAGUCGGUUGUGAAAGCCCGGGGCCCAACCCCGGAACUGCAUCCGAAACUGCCUGGCUAGAGUCCCGGAGAGGAAGGCAGAAUUCCCGGUGUAGGGGUGAAAUCCGUAGAUAUCGGGAGGAACACCUAUGGCGAAGGCAGCUCGCUGGGACGUUACUGACGCUGAGACGCGAAAGCGUGGGGAGCAAACAGG
This 253-nucleotide ribosomal RNA is filed under the name uncultured bacterium. RNAcentral describes it as "partial 16S ribosomal RNA". It matches the Rfam family "Bacterial small subunit ribosomal RNA", at positions 524 to 776 of the family's 1533-position model. The record is from RNAcentral.